Molecule: ribosomal RNA, 1179 nt
Filed under: Escherichia coli
Lineage: Bacteria; Pseudomonadati; Pseudomonadota; Gammaproteobacteria; Enterobacterales; Enterobacteriaceae
Description: partial 23S ribosomal RNA
Rfam family: Bacterial large subunit ribosomal RNA
Source: RNAcentral
GGGUUGUGAGGUUAAGCGACUAAGCGUACACGGUGGAUGCCCUGGCAGUCAGAGGCGAUGAAGGACGUGCUAAUCUGCGAUAAGCGUCGGUAAGGUGAUAUGAACCGUUAUAACCGGCGAUUUCCGAAUGGGGAAACCCAGUGUGAUUUGUCACACUAUCAUUAACUGAAUCCAUAGGUUAAUGAGGCGAACCGGGGGAACUGAAACAUCUAAGUACCCCGAGGAAAAGAAAUCAACCGAGAUUCCCCCAGUAGCGGCGAGCGAACGGGGAGGAGCCCAGAGCCUGAAUCAGUGUGUGUGUUAGUGGAAGCGUCUGGAAAGGCGCGCGAUACAGGGUGACAGCCCCGUACACAAAAAUGCACAUGCUGUGAGCUCGAUGAGUAGGGCGGGACACGUGGUAUCCUGUCUGAAUAUGGGGGGACCAUCCUCCAAGGCUAAAUACUCCUGACUGACCGAUAGUGAACCAGUACCGUGAGGGAAAGGCGAAAAGAACCCCGGCGAGGGGAGUGAAAAAGAACCUGAAACCGUGUACGUACAAGCAGUGGGAGCCUCUUUUAUGGGGUGACUGCGUACCUUUUGUAUAAUGGGUCAGCGACUUAUAUUCUGUAGCAAGGUUAACCGAAUAGGGGAGCCGAAGGGAAACCGAGUCUUAACUGGGCGUUAAGUUGCAGGGUAUAGACCCGAAACCCGGUGAUCUAGCCAUGGGCAGGUUGAAGGUUGGGUAACACUAACUGGAGGACCGAACCGACUAAUGUUGAAAAAUUAGCGGAUGACUUGUGGCUGGGGGUGAAAGGCCAAUCAAACCGGGAGAUAGCUGGUUCUCCCCGAAAGCUAUUUAGGUAGCGCCUCGUGAAUUCAUCUCCGGGGGUAGAGCACUGUUUCGGCAAGGGGGUCAUCCCGACUUACCAACCCGAUGCAAACUGCGAAUACCGGAGAAUGUUAUCACGGGAGACACACGGCGGGUGCUAACGUCCGUCGUGAAGAGGGAAACAACCCAGACCGCCAGCUAAGGUCCCAAAGUCAUGGUUAAGUGGGAAACGAUGUGGGAAGGCCCAGACAGCCAGGAUGUUGGCUUAGAAGCAGCCAUCAUUUAAAGAAAGCGUAAUAGCUCACUGGUCGAGUCGGCCUGCGCGGAAGAUGUAACGGGGCUAAACCAUGCACCGAAGCUGCGGCAGCGAC